AGUGAACGCUGGCGGUAGGCCUAACACAUGCAAGUCGAACGGCAGCACAGUAAGAGCUUGCUCUUACGGGUGGCGAGUGGCGGACGGGUGAGGAAUACAUCGGAAUCUACUUUUUCGUGGGGGAUAACGUAGGUAAACUUACGCUAAUACCGCAUACGACCUACGGGUGAAAGCAGGGGAUCUUCGGACCUUGCGCGAUUGAAUGAGCCGAUGUCGGAUUAGCUAGUUGGCGGGGUAAAGGCCCACCAAGGCGACGAUCCGUAGCUGGUCUGAGAGGAUGAUCAGCCACACUGGAACUGAGACACGGUCCAGACUCGUACGGGAGGCAGCAGUGGGGAAUAUUGGACAAUGGGCGCAAGCCUGAUCCAGCCAUACCGCGUGGGUGAAGAAGGCCUUCGGGUGGUAAAGCCCUUUUGUUGGGAAAGAAAAGCAGCAGGUUAAUACCCCGCUGUUCGGACGGUACCCAAAGAAUAAGCACCGGCUAAUUUCGU
This 491-nucleotide ribosomal RNA is filed under the name uncultured bacterium. RNAcentral describes it as "partial 16S ribosomal RNA". It matches the Rfam family "Bacterial small subunit ribosomal RNA", at positions 29 to 506 of the family's 1533-position model. The record is from RNAcentral.